CUUAAAUCACUACACAAGCUUCCAUCAAAGUUAAUCCGAUUAGAUGCAAUGGGUUGUGAAUCAAUGGAACCUUUAUCACAAACAAAGUUAUGGAAUAUGGUUUCAUCACUUGACCAUGAGUAUCGUCAUCGAGUUACAUAUGAUAAUACAUUGCUCAAGCACAUUGAGGUAGUAGAAUAUCUCCCCCAAAGAGAUUUUUUCACAAUUCUUUGGGGAUUAGAAAUACCAUCAUGGUU
Molecule: long non-coding RNA, 236 nt
Organism: Neltuma alba
Lineage: Eukaryota; Viridiplantae; Streptophyta; Magnoliopsida; Fabales; Fabaceae
Exons: 3
Source: RefSeq, a predicted model, not a curated record